CCAGCAGCUGCGGUAAUACAGAGGAUGCAAGCGUUAUCCGGAAUGAUUGGGCGUAAAGCGUCCGUAGGUGGUUUGUCAAGUCUGUGGUUAAAGCGUGGAGCUUAACUCCAUAAAGGCCAUGGAAACUGACAGACUAGAGUCAAGUAGGGGUAGAGGGAAUUCCCAGUGUAGCGGUGAAAUGCGUAGAGAUUGGGAAGAACACCGGUGGCGAAAGCGCUCUACUGGACUUGUACUGACACUGAGGGACGAAAGCUAGGGGAGCGAAAGGGAUUAGAUACCCCUGUAGUCCUAGCCGUAAACGAUGGAUACUAGGUGUUGCCCGUAUCGACCCGGGCAGUGCCGUAGCUAACGCGUUAAGUAUCCCGCCUGGGGAGUACGCACGCAAGUGUGAAACUCAAAGGAAUUGACGGGGGCCCGCACAAGCGGUGGAGUAUGUGGUUUAAUUCGAUGCAACGCGAAGAACCUUACCAGGGCUUGACAUGUCUAGAAUUCUUGCGAAAGUGGAAGUGCCUUAGGGAGCUAGAACACAGGUG
RNAcentral lists this ribosomal RNA (533 nucleotides) under uncultured cyanobacterium. RNAcentral describes it as "bacterial SSU rRNA". It matches the Rfam family "Bacterial small subunit ribosomal RNA", at positions 508 to 1040 of the family's 1533-position model. The record is from RNAcentral. Lineage: Bacteria; Bacillati; Cyanobacteriota.